AGUGAACGCUGGCGGUAGGCCUAACACAUGCAAGUCGAACGGCAGCACAGUAAGAGCUUGCUCUUACGGGUGGCGAGUGGCGGACGGGUGAGGAAUACAUCGGAAUCUACUUUUUCGUGGGGGAUAACGUAGGGAAACUUACGCUAAUACCGCAUACGACCUACGGGUGAAAGCAGGGGAUCUUCGGACCUUGCGCGAUUGAAUGAGCCGAUGUCGGAUAGCUAGUUGGCGGGGUAAAGGCCCACCAAGGCGACGAUCCGUAGCUGGUCUGAGAGGAUGAUCAGCCACACUGGAACUGAGACACGGUCCAGACUCCUACGGGAGGCAGCAGUGGGGAAUAUUGGGCAAUGGGCGCAAGCCUGAUCCAGCCAUACUGCGUGGGUGAAGAAGGCCUUCGGGUUGUAAAGCCCUUUUGUUGGGAAAGAAAAGCAGCAGGUUAAUACCCCGCUGUUCUGACGGUACCCAAAGAAUAAGCACCGGCUAACUUCGUG
RNAcentral lists this ribosomal RNA (491 nucleotides) under uncultured bacterium. RNAcentral describes it as "partial 16S ribosomal RNA". It matches the Rfam family "Bacterial small subunit ribosomal RNA", at positions 29 to 507 of the family's 1533-position model. The record is from RNAcentral.